AGUGAACGCUGGCGGUAGGCCUAACACAUGCCAGUCGAACGGCAGCACAGUAAGAGCUUGCUCUUACGGGUGGCGAGUGGCGGACGGGUAAGGAAUACAUCGGAAUCUACUUUUUCGUGGGGGAUAACGUAGGGAAACUUACGCUAAUACCGCAUACGACCUACGGGUGAAAGCAGGGGAUCUUCGGACCUUGCGCGAUUGAAUGAGCCGAUGUCGGAUUAGCUAGUUGGCGGGGUAAAGGCCCACCAAGGCGACGAUCCGUAGCUGGUCUGAGAGGAUGAUCAGCCACACUGGAACUGAGACACGGUCCAGACUCCUACGGGAGGCAGCAGUGGGGAAUAUUGGACAAUGGGCGCAAGCCUGAUCCAGCCAUACCGCGUGGGUGAAGAAGGCCUUCGGGUUGUAAAGCCCUUUUGUUGGGAAAGAAAAGCAGCAGGUUAAUACCCCGCUGUUCUGACGGUACCCAAAGAAUAAGCACCGGCUAACUUCGUG
Molecule: ribosomal RNA, 492 nt
Filed under: uncultured bacterium
Lineage: Bacteria
Description: partial 16S ribosomal RNA
Rfam family: Bacterial small subunit ribosomal RNA
Source: RNAcentral